Molecule: unclassified non-coding RNA, 251 nt
Filed under: uncultured fungus
Lineage: Eukaryota; Fungi
Description: sequence contains ITS1, 5.8S rRNA gene
Rfam family: 5.8S ribosomal RNA (bases 203-251)
Source: RNAcentral
UCUCCGUUGGUGAACCAGCGGAGGGAUCAUUAACGAGAAACCCGGGGUAACUCCCGGGAAGUCCCGCUCCCCGUGGCGACACGGGGGGCGUUCUCACAACCCUUUGUCUAACGUACCCGUUGCCUCGGGGGCUUCACCGCCCCCGACGGACGCCCUUCAAACACUGCAUCCCUGCGUCAGAGUAUUGAAACAAAUCAAUCAAAACUUUCAACAACGGAUCUCUUGGUUCUGGCAUCGAUGAAGAACGCAGC